AAAGGAAUUGACGGGGGCCCGCACAAGCGGUGAGCAUGUGGUUUAAUUCGAUGCAACGCGAAGAACCUUACCUGGCCUUGACAUACUAGAAACUUUCCAGAGAUGGAUUGGUGCCUUCGGGAAUCUAGAUACAGGUGCUGCAUGGCUGUCGUCAGCUCGUGUCGUGAGAUGUUGGGUUAAGUCCCGCAACGAGCGCAACCCUUUUCCUUACUUGCCAGCAUUUCGGAUGGGAACUUUAAGGAUACUGCCAGUGACAAACUGGAGGAAGGCGGGGACGACGUCAAGUCAUCAUGGCCCUUACGGCCAGGGCUACACACGUGCUACAAUGGUCGGUACAAAGGGUUGCUACCUAGCGAUAGGAUGCUAAUCUCAAAAAGCCGAUCGUAGUCCGGAUUGGAGUCUGCAACUCGACUCCAUGAAGUCGGAAUCGCUAGUAAUCUCGGAUCAGAAUGCCGCGGUGAAUACGUUCCCGGGCCUUGUACACACCGCCCGUCUC
This 496-nucleotide ribosomal RNA is filed under the name uncultured Pseudomonadales bacterium. RNAcentral describes it as "bacterial SSU rRNA". It matches the Rfam family "Bacterial small subunit ribosomal RNA", at positions 903 to 1400 of the family's 1533-position model. The record is from RNAcentral. Lineage: Bacteria; Pseudomonadati; Pseudomonadota; Gammaproteobacteria; Pseudomonadales.